CCUACGGGAGGCAGCAGUGAGGAAUAUUGGACAAUGGGCGCAAGCCUGAUCCAGCCAUGCCGCGUGCAGGAUGAAGCAUCUAUGGUGUGUAAACUGCUUUUAUACAGGAAGAAACCUCCCGACGUGUCGGGAAUUGACGGUACUGUAAGAAUAAGGAUCGGCUAACUCCGUGCCAGCAGCCGCGGUAAUACGGAGGAUCCAAGCGUUAUCCGGAAUCAUUGGGUUUAAAGGGUCCGUAGGCGGGCCAGUAAGUCAGUGGUGAAAUCUCUCCGCUCAACGGGGAAAUGGCCAUUGAUACUGCUGGUCUUGAAUUAUUAGGAAGUAACUAGAAUAUGUAGUGUAGCGGUGAAAUGCUUAGAGAUUACAUGGAAUACCAAUUGCGAAGGCAGGUUACUACUAAUGGAUUGACGCUGAUGGACGAAAGCGUGGGUAGCGAACAGGAUUAGAUACCCUGGUAGUCCACGCCGUAAACGAUGGAUACUAGCUGUUGGGGGCAACUUCAGUGGCUAAGCGAAAGUGAUAAGUAUCCCACCUGGGGAGUACGUUCGCAAGAAUGAAACUUAAAUGAAUUGACGG
RNAcentral lists this ribosomal RNA (576 nucleotides) under uncultured bacterium. Its description in RNAcentral is "bacterial SSU rRNA". It matches the Rfam family "Bacterial small subunit ribosomal RNA", at positions 338 to 916 of the family's 1533-position model. The record is from RNAcentral.